Molecule: ribosomal RNA, 451 nt
Filed under: uncultured bacterium
Lineage: Bacteria
Description: partial 16S ribosomal RNA
Rfam family: Bacterial small subunit ribosomal RNA
Source: RNAcentral
AACGAACGCUGGCGGCAGGUCUUAGGCAUGCAAGUCGAACGGGUGUAGUAAUACACCAGUGGCGAACGAGUGAGUAACGCGUGGGAAUCUGCCCAUCCCUGGGGAAUAACGUUGGGAAACGAACGCUAAUACCGCAUACGCCCGCCAGGGGAAAGAUUUAUCGGAGAUGGAGGAGCCCGCGUUAGAUUAGGUAGUUGGUGGGGUAACGGCCUACCAAGGCGAUGAUCCAUAGCUGGUCUGAGAGGACGAUCAGCCACGCUGGAACUGAGAUACGGUACAGACUAAUACGGGAGGCAGCAGCUAAGAAUAUUGGGCAAUGGAGGAGACUCUGACCAAGCCCUGCCGCGUGAAUAAAGAAGGCCUUCGGGUUGUAGAGUUCUUUUAGUCGAGACGAUGAUGUCGGUAGCGACAGAAAAAGCACCGGCUAACUUCGUGCCAGCAGCCGCCGCCG